GACGAACGCUGGCGGCGUGCUUAACACAUGCAAGUCGAACGGAAAGGCCCUGCUCUUGUGGGGUGCUCGAGUGGCGAACGGGUGAAUAACACGUGAGUAACCUGCCCUUGACUUUGGGAUAACUUCAGGAAACUGGGGCUAAUACCGGAUAGGAGCUCCUGCUGCAUGGUGGGGGUUGGAAAGUUUCGGCGGUUGGGGAUGGACUCGCGGCUUAUCAGCUUGUUGGUGGGGUAGUGGCUUACCAAGGCUUUGACGGGUAGCCGGCCUGAGAGGGUGACCGGCAACAUUGGGACUGGGAUACGGCCCAGACUCCUACGGGAGGCAGCAGUGGGGAAUAUUGCACAAUGGGCGGAAGCCUGAUGAAGCAACGCCGCGUGCGGGAUGACGGCCUUCGGGUUGUAAACGGCUUUCGCCUGUGACGAAGCGUGAGUGACGGUAAUGGGUAAAGAAGCACCGGCUAACUACGUG
This 468-nucleotide ribosomal RNA is filed under the name uncultured bacterium. RNAcentral's name for it is "partial 16S ribosomal RNA". It matches the Rfam family "Bacterial small subunit ribosomal RNA", at positions 28 to 507 of the family's 1533-position model. The record is from RNAcentral.